This 1493-nucleotide ribosomal RNA is filed under the name Enterococcaceae bacterium. RNAcentral describes it as "bacterial SSU rRNA". It matches the Rfam family "Bacterial small subunit ribosomal RNA". The record is from RNAcentral. Lineage: Bacteria; Bacillati; Bacillota; Bacilli; Lactobacillales; Enterococcaceae.
UAGAGUUUGAUCCUGGCUCAGGAUGAACGCUGGCGGCGUGCCUAACACAUGCAAGUCGAGCGAACCCCUUCGGGGGAGAGCGGCGGACGGGUGAGUAACGCGUGGGUAACCUACCCUGUACACACGGAUAACAUACCGAAAGGUAUACUAAUACGUGAUGACAUAUCGGACAGGCAUCUGUCAGAUAUCAAAGGUCAGCCGGUACAGGAUGGACCCGCGUCUGAUUAGCUAGUUGGUGAGAUAAAAGCUCACCAAGGCGACGAUCAGUAGCCGACCUGAGAGGGUGAUCGGCCACAUUGGAACUGAGACACGGUCCAAACUCCUACGGGAGGCAGCAGUGGGGAAUAUUGCACAAUGGGCGAAAGCCUGGUGCAGCAACGCCGCGUGAGUGAUGAAGGCCUUCGGGUCGUAAAACUCUGUUGUUAGAGAAGAACAAGGAUGAGAGUAAAAUGUUCAUCCCUUGACGGUAUCUAACCAGAAAGCCACGGCUAACUACGUGCCAGCAGCCGCGGUAAUACGUAGGUGGCAAGCGUUGUCUGGAUUUAUUGGGCGUAAAGCGAGCGCAGGCGGUUUCUUAAGUCUGAUGUGAAAGCCCCCGGCUCAACCGGGGAGGGUCAUUGGAAACUGGGAAACUUGAGUGCAGAAGAGGAGAGUGGAAUUCCAUGUGUAGCGGUGAAAUGCGUAGAUAUAUGGAGGAACACCAGUGGCGAAGGCGGCUCUCUGGUCUGUAACUGACGCUGAGGCUCGAAAGCGUGGGGAGCAAACAGGAUUAGAUACCCUGGUAGUCCACGCCGUAAACGAUGAGUGCUAAGUGUUGGAGGGUUUCCGCCCUUCAGUGCUGCAGCUAACGCAUUAAGCACUCCGCCUGGGGAGUACGACCGCAAGGUUGAAACUCAAAGGAAUUGACGGGGGCCCGCACAAGCGGUGGAGCAUGUGGUUUAAUUCGAAGCAACGCGAAGAACCUUACCAGGUCUUGACAUCCUUUGACCACUCUAGAGAUAGAGCUUCCCCUUCGGGGGCAAAGUGACAGGUGGUGCAUGGUUGUCGUCAGCUCGUGUCGUGAGAUGUUGGGUUAAGUCCCGCAACGAGCGCAACCCUUGUCAUUAGUUGCCAGCAGUUCGGCUGGGCACUCUAGUGAGACUGCCGGGGAUAACUCGGAGGAAGGUGGGGAUGACGUCAAAUCAUCAUGCCCCUUAUGUUCUGGGCUACACACGUGCUACAAUGGCCGGUACAGAGAGAAGCAAAUUCGUGAGGAAGAGCAAAACUCUAAAACCGGUCCCAGUUCGGAUUGUAGGCUGAAACUCGCCUACAUGAAGUUGGAGUUGCUAGUAAUCGCGGAUCAGAAUGCCGCGGUGAAUGCGUUCCCGGGUCUUGUACACACCGCCCGUCACACCAUGGAAGUUGGGGGCGCCCGAAGUUGGUCGAGAAAUAGAUUACCUAAGGCGAAAUCAAUGACUGGGGUGAAGUCGUAACAAGGUAACCUUAAUUAAAAA